GACGAACGCUGGCGGCGUGCCUAAUACAUGCAAGUUGAGCGCUGAAGGUUGGUACUUGUACCGACUGGAUGAGCAGCGAACGGGUGAGUAACGCGCGAGGAAUCUGCCUUUGAGCGGGGGACAACAUUUGGAAACGAAUGCUAAUACCGCAUAAAAACUUUAAACACAAGUUUUAAGUUUGAAAGAUGCAAUUGCAUCACUCAAAGAUGAUCCAGCGUUGUAUUAGCGAGUUGGUGAGGUAAAGGCUAACCAAGGCGAGGAUACAUAGCCGACCUGAGAGGGUGAUCGGACACAUUGGGACUGAGACACGGCCCAAACGCCUACGGGAGGCAGCAGUAGGGAAUCUUCGGCAAUGGACGAAAGUCUGACCGAGCAACGCCGCGUGAGUGAAGAAGGUUUUCGGAUCGUAAAACUCUGUUGGUAGAGAAGAACGUUGGUGAGAGUGGAAAGCUCAUCAAGUGACGGUAACUACCCAGAAAGGGACGGCUAACUACGUGCCAGCCGCCGCCGUAA
Molecule: ribosomal RNA, 513 nt
Filed under: uncultured bacterium
Lineage: Bacteria
Description: partial 16S ribosomal RNA
Rfam family: Bacterial small subunit ribosomal RNA
Source: RNAcentral